RNAcentral lists this ribosomal RNA (945 nucleotides) under Triticum aestivum (bread wheat). Its description in RNAcentral is "partial small subunit ribosomal RNA". The record is from RNAcentral. Lineage: Eukaryota; Viridiplantae; Streptophyta; Magnoliopsida; Poales; Poaceae.
AUGGCUAACCCCUUCGCCUCCCCUCUCCUCCUCGCUUCCCCGCUCCCCCUCCGGGCCCCGAUCUUCCCGCCCCACCCGUCGGCGCUGGUGGAGGAGGCCGCCACCACGGCCGUGGAGGAGUACGAGGCACCUCUGCUGAGGCUUCUCCGACCAUAUAGGCGAGCUAACCAUCCUUCCAAGCCUCGGCAAGCUAGACAGGUGGAUUCGCCAAGCAGGGCCCUCCGGCGAGGUGGAGGGCUGAGGGACGAGAUCGAGCAAGUCGACGGGGUCGUCUCCGCCGUGAACGACAGGGUUACCCGAAACAAGUUAGUGGCCAGAUCCCUCGCAGCCCUCAAGCAGAUGCUCUACGACGCCGAUGACACGGUCGACGAGCUCGACUGCUACAGUUUUCAGCAGGAGCUCCAUGCCCGUGGAGGUAAAUGCGUGAACAUCCGUCCUCCAAGAACGCCACAUGCCCAUGGCAUUGGCACCAUCCCAACAAAAUUGAUGGACGAAGUAACCAACUGCCAAUCCAAUGUGAUUCUAACUGAUGAUAGUUCAUCUAGAAGAAAAAGGAGAAGGGGCAACAUGGAGAAAGACGCGGUGCUGGUGUGCAUGAUCUUGGGCUUUCUAGGCUCCGUCGCGGUCACCCUCGGCUUCGUCGCCAACAACUAUAGCUCCAAGGCAUGGAUCCAAGAUCAAACAUCACAAUUCUCUUUUCAUCAAUUCGAUAGAUAUGUGCUAACUGAGUCUAUGUUAGUCCGUGGAGUACCACGGGAUGACUGCGUGUACCUGAGCCCACUAGCGACGGGUCUCGGCAUCCUGGGUGUGUUCCUGGUGUUCAUCAACCAGGUCAUCGUCGCCGGCUACGCCAGCGGCUGGUGCCUCUGCCUGUGUUGCUGCUGCCCCUACUGGAUCAAGCGCUGCCGGCUGGCGCCAACACCGUCCAAGUGGAACCCAGUGUAA